Callithrix jacchus (white-tufted-ear marmoset) is the source of this 641-nucleotide non-coding RNA. NCBI's taxonomy places the organism in Eukaryota, Metazoa, Chordata, Mammalia, Primates, Cebidae. The record is from RefSeq and is a predicted model, not a curated record.
AUGCAGGGAGAGCCCCAGGUCCAGUUCAAACCUGUAUUGGUUGGUGAUGGUGGUACUGGAAAAACAACCUUCAUGAAACGUCAUUUGACUGAUGAAUCUGAGAAGAAGUAUGUAGCCACCUUGGGUGUUGAGGUUCAUCCCCUAGUGUUCCACACCAACAGAGGACCUAUUAAGUUUAAUGUAUGGGACACAGCCGGCCAGGAGAAAUUCAGUGGACUGAGAGAUGGCUAUUAUAUCCAAGCCACGUGCACCAUCAGAAUGUUUGAUGUAACGCAGAGAGUUACUUACAAGAAUGUGCCUAACUGGCAUAAAGAUCCAGUGCGAGUGUGUGAAAACAUCCCCGUUGUGUUGCAUGGCAACAAAGUGGCGGAAAGUGAAGGCAAAAUCCAUCGUCUUCCAUUGAAGGAAGAAUCUUCAAUACUAUGACAUUUCUGCCAAAAGUAACCACAACUCUGAAAAGCCCUUCCUCUGGCUUGCUAGGGAAGUUCAUUGGAGACCCUAGCUUGGAAUCUGUUGCCAUGCCUGCUCUUGCCCCACCAGAGGUUGUCAAGGACCUAGCUUUGGCAGCGCAGUAUGAGUAUGACUCAGAGGCUGCUCAGACAACUGUUGUCCCGGAUGAGGAUGAUGACCUCGGAGAAUGA